GCGCACGCCCACGCUGGAUCCUGACACGAUGCACGCGCGCCUGCGCCUGUCCGCCGACCGCCUGACGGUGCGCUGCGGCCUGCUGGGCAGCCUGGGGCCCGUGCCCGCGCUGCGGUUCGACGCGCUCUGGCAAGUGCUGGCUCGCGACUGCUUCGCCGCCGGCCGCCACUACUGGGAGGUUGACGUGCAGGAGGCGGGCGCCGGCUGGUGGGUGGGCGCGGCCUACGCCUCCCUUCGGCGCCGCGGGGCCUCGGCCGCCGCCCGCCUGGGCUGCAACCGCCAGUCCUGGUGCCUCAAGCGCUACGACCUUGAGUACUGGGCCUUCCACGACGGCCAGCGCAGCCGCCUGCGGCCCCGCGACGACCUCGACCGGCUCGGCGUCUUCCUGGACUACGAGGCCGGCGUCCUUGCCUUCUACGACGUGACGGGCGGCAUGAGCCACCUGCAUACCUUCCGCGCCACCUUCCAGGAGCCACUCUACCCGGCCCUGCGGCUCUGGGAGGGGGCCAUCAGCAUCCCCCGGCUGCCCUAGGGGCCAGGACCGGCGUGACAGCCUCCAGGCCAGAGUGACAUGCAUUACUGAAGAGAAACCUGAAGAAGCUGACGGGGUGGGAGCACAUUCAUUCAUCAUUUCAUCAGCCUGGCUCAGGGAGGGCUGGUCCUGACCAUCCCUCUCGGGCCAGCCCAUCCUUUUUCCGCACACGGCAGCAGAACCGAGUAGAGUCCGGCAGGACGCACCUUCUCAUUGCAGGCCAUCUCACAGGGCAGCAGCUGCUUGGUUGGGGAGCCCAGGGCACGCUCCACAAGACGCACUGACCGCACCAGCUCGGCCAGUUCUCCAGGCUCCAGCGAGGCCGAGUGGUCACUCCCCUUCCAGGUCUUGUCCAAAGUUAUGUGACGUUCCAACACCUUGGCCCCCAGAGCCACUGCGGCCACAGAUAUCGCUAUGCCUGUUUCAUGCCCAGAAUACCCUAUGGGAAU
Molecule: small RNA, 981 nt
Filed under: Pan troglodytes (chimpanzee)
Lineage: Eukaryota; Metazoa; Chordata; Mammalia; Primates; Hominidae
Description: processed transcript
Source: RNAcentral